This 355-nucleotide unclassified non-coding RNA is filed under the name soil metagenome. RNAcentral describes it as "partial contains 5.8S ribosomal RNA, internal transcribed spacer 2, and large subunit ribosomal RNA". The stretch from base 1 to 121 matches the Rfam family "5.8S ribosomal RNA", at positions 35 to 154 of the family's 154-position model. The record is from RNAcentral.
GAUGAAGAACGUAGCGAAAUGCGAUAAGUAAUGCGAAUUGCAGAAUUUCCGUGAGUCAUCGAAUCUUUGAACGCACAUUGCGCCCGCCAGUAUUCUGGCGGGCAUGCCUGUUCGAGCGUCAUUUCAACCCUCAGGCCCCCAGUGCCUGGCGUUGGGGAUCGGCACCGGGUCGCGCAAGCGGCCUCGCCGGCCCCGAAAUCUAGUGGCGGUCUCGCUGUAGUCCUCCUCUGCGUAGUAGCACAACCUCGCACUGGAACGCGGCGGCGACCAUGCCGUUAAACACCCCACUUCUGAAAGUUGACCUCGGAUCAGGUAGGAAUACCCGCUGAACUUAAGCAUAUCAAUAAGCGGAGGA